CUCGGAGUCAGUCGGGAUUGUUCGGUUUUCCUCGGAAAUCUGAGGCAGUGGUCGUUAAUUUUGUGGUUUUCCUCGAAUAUUUGGGGUCGGUCAAUACUUUUGCGGGGAUUUUAGUUCCCAAAUAUUCCGCCACAUGGCGCUAGCUGUAUCGGCGAGUGCGGUCACGUGACCUGACCACGUGACGUCAUCGCGCGACGAAAUAGGGGCGGACAAUUAAUUUACCGCGCCCGCACCCAUCCAGGGGCGGCACAAAUGAAAAAUAUUUUUAAAAACUGGGAAAAAAUUGUUAAAAUUCGGAAAAAAUUAGAAAACAAUUAGAAAACAAUUAGGAAUACACCUGGGAUGGUUUGACUCUGAUUAAUUAACCGGAGAUGGAGGAAAAAAUCUGAAUAAUUCUGGAAAAAUGGGGAAAACAUCAAAACAUCAUUCUGACACUCUGAAAUUGAAU
Athalia rosae (coleseed sawfly) is the source of this 448-nucleotide long non-coding RNA. RefSeq lists it as uncharacterized. NCBI's taxonomy places the organism in Eukaryota, Metazoa, Arthropoda, Insecta, Hymenoptera, Athaliidae. The record is from RefSeq and is a predicted model, not a curated record. The transcript is spliced from 2 exons.